UUGCUGCCGUGAUGAAACUUACAGUCUUACAUAUAUAUGCCUUAAAAUAAAGUAAAAUAUGUUAUGUAGGUUUAAAAAGUAGUGUUAGGUAUUGAAAAUGCUAUGGAGAAAAAGUAAGGAAGUGAGAAGGGAGACAUGUAAUAGAGACAAUCUCACUGAAAAGGUGACAUGUCAUCAAAGAUCUGAAGGAAGUUGGCAAGUCACAUGACUGGGGAAGAACAUUUCAGACAGAACAGAGGGUCGUGUAGCCAUCACCCGUGUGGCCAACCUUCUGCUGUGUAUGUACGCCAAGGAGACCGUGGGCUUCGGAAUGCUCAAGGCCAAGGCCCAGGCCUUGGUGCAGUACCUAGAGGAGCCCCUCACCCAAGUAGCAGCAUCAUAAUGGGCCUUGGUGGAAGUUGGGGUCAGAAAAGAUAGAUGACCGUUUGGAGGGGUGGCAUCCCCUGGGAAAACUGGACUGUGGGGGGAGGAAAAACCUUUGUGUUUUCCACGAAUAAACUUUAACUCCUGU
Molecule: non-coding RNA, 511 nt
Organism: Manis javanica (Malayan pangolin)
Lineage: Eukaryota; Metazoa; Chordata; Mammalia; Pholidota; Manidae
Source: RefSeq, a predicted model, not a curated record